CAUUCUUAGUUCAACUUUACUACUUGCUUGGGGUCAAUAAGGUGUAUGCAGAUCCCAAGUAAUUCCCCAAAUCCAGCUAACCUCUUUAACUACUGUUGCAAUGAAGUGUGGUUCCCUAUCUGAUGACAUCCCCAAGGGAAUCCCAAAUUUUGGAAUUAUGU
Molecule: non-coding RNA, 161 nt
Organism: Sturnus vulgaris (Common starling)
Lineage: Eukaryota; Metazoa; Chordata; Aves; Passeriformes; Sturnidae
Source: RefSeq, a predicted model, not a curated record